Homo sapiens (human) is the source of this 1371-nucleotide long non-coding RNA. Lineage: Eukaryota; Metazoa; Chordata; Mammalia; Primates; Hominidae. The record is from Ensembl.
CUUUCUCUGUUGCCCAGGCUGGUUUCACACUUCUGACCUCAAGCAAUCUGCCCUCCUCAGCCUGUAACCCUUAAAGCACUGGAAUCACAGGCAUGAGCCACCCCAACUGGCCUUAGCUCAUUUGGCAGAAUGCUGAAGCCUUACUGGUCUGAGGUGUCAGAGGUCAGAGCCUGAGACUGACAGAGGAGCCACAGGUGACCAGCAAACUGCAGAAGCUCUGGGGAGAACUCCAUGGAGUCAGGCUAAAAACAGCAGCAACCAGAAACUGUAAGAACUGAGCAGAGAUACCAGCUGCACCACUAGAGAGACAAAGUGUGUAGCUCACUGCCUAGUACAGCAAAAUAGCCACAAUCCUCAGAAGGACACAACAGAAUCUGGAAUCACUAGAAAGUAUUAUCUACAAUGCUCAUUCUUAACCAUGCAAAGAAGAAACAGGAAAGUGUGAUUCAAAGUCAGAAAAAAGUCAGUCAAUAGAAAUCUACUCUGUUAGGGACAGGUGUUGGUGAAUUAAGUAAUUAGAGACUCUAAAGCAGCUAUGAUAAAUAUGUUCACAGAGGAAAGCUCAAUAGAGAAAUGAAACUUCAAACAUGGAAAUUUAAGACUUGAAAAGUACAAAAACUAGAAAGAAAAAUUUACUAGGUGGACCAAACGGCAGAUUAGAGAUGCCAAAAUUGCAUAAAUUGAACAGAGAUCAAAAGACGUUAUUUAAUCUAAAAAAUUGAAGAAAAAUGAGCAGAGCCUUAGAGUCCUGUAAAAUAUCAAGCAAGAUAACAUAUAUGUAAUUGGGUUCCGGAGGGAGAGAAGGAAUGGAAAAAAAUAUUUGCAUAAAUAAUGACUGAAAAAUUCCAUGAUUGGCAGAAAACACUAAUUUACAGAUCUAAGAAGGUCAAGCACCCCAAGCAGGAUAUAUAAUUAUAUCACUUCCAUGCAGAAGAGAAAUGCAGAAAGCCAAAGAUAAAGAGCAAAGUGUUGAAAGCAGCCAAAGAAAAGUGACACAUCACGUACAGGAAAAUAGUUCAGCUCAAUGGCUGAAUUUUCAUCAGAAAUACUGGCAUUCAGAAGAAAUUUAAAAAUGCUGAAAACAAAACUAGCAGCCAAGAAUUUUGUAUCAAGCAAAAAUGUCUUUUCAAAAUUAAAGGCAAAAGGAAGCAACUUCCAGAUAAAUUUAAAAGACAGAAUUUAUGCCAUUAUAUUUACACUGUAAGAAAUGCUAAAUGAGGUUCUUCAGGUUGAAGGGAAAUGACCCUGAUGACAACAUGGAUCUACAGGAAAAAAUGAAAAGCAUCAGAAAUCAUACAUAUGUGAGUAAAUAUAAAAUACUAAAUAUUGAUAGAUGAAUAUAUGGAUAGGUACUACACAAACACAUAUGAA